GUGGGUCUGGGCCAUCUCCUGGGCUGACCCGGGAAGCUCUGGCCACCCGGAGCCUGUCUCGGCAUUUGUACGGGGGAUAAAGAGACGCUUCCUCCAAGGCUGUUUUCUGAAUUCAGCAGUGCUCAGGGCAGCUGCGAUGGAGUCAGCAGCUACACCAGGACCCUUCUGAGCACCCUGACUCACUGGCUCUGCGGACAACGGGCCGUGUAGGCCGGGACUCCUUCCUCUGAACACUGGCCUGCCCUGGGGCCUCCAGCUUUCCUCAAGGGGCUUCUCAGGUGAAGGCAAGAAAAGCGACAGCAUUGAACUGGAACCCUGUGAGUGCCAGGAGCUUCAGGGGAGGCCUGAGCACCACUGAAGGUGCAGGGAGUGAAGGUGCCAGCACCGCUCUCCAUGGAGGCCACCGAUCGUCCCACCAACAGGAGACGACCUCAAGACUCCUCCCCGGUGUCCUGUCCACCUGCCUCCAGCCGCCCGAGAUGGGCUCUUCCCUGAGGUUUCUGAAGGGACCAGCUUCCAACUGCACACACUGAGUGGGUGCACAAGACUCCCCGACCCGCAGGGACACACACUGAGUGGGUGCACAAGACUUCCCUGACCCGCAGGGACACACACUGCUGAGCUCAGAAGCAUGUUCAUGUCUUCAAAACUCCCUUGUGAGCCAUGUGGCAUCUUAUGUUGGCCUAGAGAUUUCUACUGCUUUUAUAGGACUAAACAGAACACUCAAAAAAUCCAACGUAGGGAUCAAUCCAACUGUAUCAAUAAUAAGUGAACAUCAGGCCGGGCACGGUGGCUCAUGCCUGUAAUCCCAGCACUUUGGGAGGCCGAGGCGGGCGGAUCACCUGAGGUUGGGAGUUCCAGACCUGCUUGGCCAACAUGGCAAAACCCCAUCUCUACUAAAAUUACAAAAUUAGCCGGGCGUGGUGGUGCAUGCCUGUAAUCCCAGCUACUCGGGAGGUGGAGGUUGCAGUGAGCCGAGAUCACGCCACUGCACUCCAGCCUGGGCAACAAGAACGAAACUCUGUUUCAAAAAAACAAAAACAAACAAAACUAAAGACCUAAACAUCAAUGGUCUCCAUGUGCCAAUUACAAGACAGCGUCAGAGAGGAUCCAAGACACCACCCAAGAAGACGUUGCCUCCAAGAAACCACUUUAAACAUGAGCACAUGGAUCAGAAGCGCAGGGAUGGGAGAGAUGCACGCAGCAACCGGUGCCGUGCAGGAGAUGUGGGAGCAGCUACAGCCAUCCACACAAAAGGUCAUCUCCAAUCCGAGGACGGUCAUUAUCCUCAGGCACCGGCUGUAUGCACGCGGUGCCAGGGAAGCUGUGGCAGGUGACUGGGGGAGUUGGAAACGGCCCGGUGACAGCAGAAGUGUGACCCAGCCACGCGUCUGCCACGACCCCGCACACAUGCACCGCCCGCUAACAGGCUGUGGCCAAUCGCGAGUCCAGGAGCCACGCCCAGGCUCUUGUGCUUGGGACACCAUCACAGGGGAGGUCGGCGCAAUCAGUGGCCUCGGAGGACGGGGUGAGGAGUCCCCACUGGGGAUGCCGCAGAGCCCUGCCCUCGGUGCUGUGAGCGGGUCUGGGCAGGUGCUGACCACCCCCCGGGAACUCAGCACAGCACUGACUCCCAGGAGCCUGCUCUGUGCCAGGUGAUGGUGACAGCAAGGGGACAGCAAAGGGCGGGAGGGUCCGUGUGAGACGACCUUCCCUGGGCUGUCUCAGCGCCAGGGUGUGUGAGGUGGCCCUCAGCCUGUCCAGCACCGUCCCCGGCCGCCAGGGCUCUGACGUGACCUGACACGUUGGGUGACAGCACAUGGUGCUUUGGCGAGUACUUGGUGAUCCUGUUUGUUACUGGUUCUGUUACUCUAUGCACUAUUUUUAUUUGUUUCAUUCUAAGAAACAGGAACCCCAGCCUCCCAAGGCCUGGGGACCCGCAGUGGCUCCAGCAGACCCCAGCCUCCCAAGCCCUGGGGACCCACAGUAGCUCCAGCUGCGCCAAAGGCACUCACCGGCUUGCACAGGUCCCGGUCAGUUUUCGCUUCCAUCUCCCAGACAUGGUGGCCAUCUGGAAGAAAGGAGCAGGAAACGUCUGUGACUCUGUGUGGUGGGGAGCCCCCUCCCCAGACACCCCCACGUGAUCCAGACCCAGGGCCCUGAGCCAGGAGGGCGCCUUGUCCCAGGAGACCCACGUAGGCCCAUCCCAGGGCUUUGUCGAGGGCAGCACCUCAGGAGCCACGUGCCCUGGCAGGGCCCCGAGCUCGACACCAAAGUUGCCCUGGGAGCCUGGAGAAGCUGAGGACACGCGGCUCAGGGCUUGUUCUGACCCCAGCCCGGCGUAGGAGGGACUACAGGGCAGGGGCAUCCUCAGGAAUCCGUCCUGGCCCUGCAUCUGCUGGCCUCUCACAGCCUCAGGACAGGUCACGGGAGGGUCUCUAUGCCCUCGUCCUCUCCAGGGAGAGCAGGUGUGAGGGGGAGCAGGUACCCCAUCAGCAGAGCGUGUGCAGGGCGUCUGUGCGUGGACCUGGGACCCGGCUCUGCAGUUCCCAGCCCAGCCUCCCAGGGAUGCAGGAGGUGUGAGAGUAGUGACGGGGGGCCGGGGGCUCCACGCCAGGGUGCGACGCCUGCUCGUGCUGGGGUCUACUCUGGUGGAUGAGGGCCUGGCCGCUGGCCCUGCCUGUGUGCAAAGGAACCACUGGGUAAAUGAGAAGAGCCUUCCUCUGACAACUUCUUGCCCAUCAGGAGACAGAAAUGCAAAACACGAGGUAUUUUUGGCAUUUCCCCAGUGGCCAUUUGCAUGUUUUUAAAAAAUAAAAAGGCUCCCAGAGGUGUAGUGAAAGGACGCGUUGUGCUCUCUGCUCCAGGCCUGGCAGAGUGGGGGCUCCAGGCGCACACGGACAAGGCGGCCCCACCACAGCCUGGGUGUGUGCACGGCCUGGCCCCUCAGAUGGGCUGAGUUUGGGGCAAUUAUCUCAAAUUAACAGAUGUCAAUCUCCUACAGAGUCUCUUCCUGCCUUUUAUCUUCUCCAAAAUAAAGUCUGUUCCCAAAAUGAACAGUUACAGGUAUACACACUUAAGUUUAUCCUUAUGCUCUGUCUCCAAAGAAGAAAAUGUGUGUCUGUUACAAACCCUCAAUUACUGAUAAAUCAGACAAAAUCUCCUUUUUCUCUGUUACAGUGCCGGGCUGCUGCCUGGGUGGAGGGUGGAGAGGAAAUGUGAGUCACACAGGACCCCAGAGCCGCCCAGCCAAGCCCUGGCCAUGCCAGCCCGGGAGGCCCGAGGUCCCCACGCAAAUUACCCACCAGAUGAACCCACUCGAUAGAGCCUGGCAUCCCUCUCUCCUCUAGGAAAAAAAUUACAGGAAACUAAAAAGUACACUCAGUUGCGCUUGAAGCCAUCUGAGUUUCAUGAAGCAGCAAGUCCUCCAGGCCCUGGAAAGCUCAGGAGCUGGGAAGAAAGAGGCGUUUUCACUCCAGCACAGGUGCUGAUGCCACAGGAUUCCCAGAAGCCCCCAGCCCAGAUGCACCACUCAGAAGCCCCUCCACCCCCACUUCAUAAAAAUCCAAAUCACUCUGUGUGUAACUAAGUCUUCUGGUUGUUUGGCACCUUUUGAAAAUGACUUUUGAACUUUUCUUAUGACAAAGUCCAUCUUUGGGGUGAGGCCCCGUCCACACCCCACAAAAGGCUGUGGUCCUCUGAAGCUCCCGGGCGCAACAGGCUAUAGUUUGCUUCCCGCCCAGCCCAGGAAGCUCAGAGUCACAACUUCAGCUUCCCUAGGAACUUCCCUGACGCUGUGGAGGCCUUUGGCACUGGCAAGGGGAGGGAGGUUCAGUGACUGUGCUGAGCAGGAGGGACACUGAGGCGCACACGGGGCCAGGAUGUCGCGUUUAAUGACACCCCGAGGGGACGCCAUUUUUGCAGCCGAGGCCAACACAGCCUGCUCCUCUCUUUAUGUCCCGAGAAGCAAGAGGGACUCCAGCCGUCUCCCCCGCGGCCUCCUCCAGGUGGCUGCCCCGCAGCGGUGAGUCCAUGAAAAGCAAAUGGAACGACGGCAUGGAGGCGUCUUUUCCCACCCGUGCCUCGUGGGCCUGUGGGGAACCAUCCUUGCCGGAGCGGCCCCAAGGGGAGCCACGUCUGCGUGGCCAGCCAGGCCCAGCUCAGCAGCUGCCAUGGAGCAGCCUCCACCGCACACCUGGGAGCACCCGCACCCUGCAAUUCCUGCGCAGGUGGGAGCAGAUACGCUUAGACUUCCCCUAAAAGUGCGGGGAACCGACAAACAUCCCUGCCUUCCUCAAAGACCCCGGCUGAGCCAGCGCCUGUGGCCUUCCCUCUUGGAGGUGGGGCCUCUCCCCGUGGUGUCCGACGUCUGUGGCCGUUUCAGGUCGACCAGGGUGAGGGUGAGGGCAGGCUUUCUGUUUCUGCUUAAGGAUCAUAAAGUAAUUGUCUUUCAAAAGCAAUAGUAUUCACGGCCAGAAAUGUCUAUCUAGCAAUUGCUUCCAGAACAAGACAAAGCGCCGAGACUGCUGAAAGAUGGAAAUAACCUCGCAUCUCAGGAAAGGAGACGCAGGGCCGCGUCCCGCCGGCAAGAGCAUCGCCAUGGCGGCUCCCAGCUCCGUGGAGGCCCGGACGGGCAGCGCCGGCCCCCGUGCUGUUCAAAACUCAGCCCCUGGCAGGAAGGAAGGCAGCCGGUCCUGAAAGGGCCUUUGUGUUCAGCCUUAUCAGAGCUCCGAGUCCUUAGUAGGAAACUGCCCGAGUGCAGGAGUAAAAAUAUUCCAGAUCAUUAGGGAAUUCCCUGCAGUCUGAGUCAUCGGGAGGCUUCCCUGCCACACCCGCGAGGUUUCCACACAGGCAGGCCUGCGGGCCCAGGAGCCUCCCAGACCGGCCAGGACCCGCCGCCCGGAGCCGGGCCACCCCCACGCCGGUGCUGAUGCUGAGCCACUGUUUCCACAAAGAAAGCCACGAGGGCCGCUGGUGGAAGCAGCAGCGUCCCUGGGUCCCACGGUGCCCUCGAGCCCUGCUCCCCACGGCGUCUCCUGCCCUGCUCCCCAAAGCAUCCUCGUGCCCUGCUCCCCGCGGCGUCCUCGUGCCGUGCACCCCACAGCAUCCUCAUGCCCAGAAGCGAGCGUCCCUGGGGCGUCUCAUCCAUCCCCGGCUCUCCCCCAGGAGUCUGUCCCAGCCUGGCUCCCAGAGGAGAUUCUGGAGGGGAAACAGCCACCCAGCCCUGCUGCACAUCUGCCUGCAGGGCCUCACACGGAGCCACCCUGUGACCCACAGCCCUUUCACACCGAGGCAUGUGCUCAGGAGACAGGCAGGCGUCCACACAGGACUCACGCACUGAGGUUCAUGGCGGCUUUUCCACGAUCAUCUCCACAGGGUGGACGUGGCCUAGUGCCAUCGACAGACAGGUGUGGGCAGCCACACGGUGGGCUUCCCUCAGCCACAGAAAGACCCCACGUCCCGACCUGUGCCAACGAGGGGACCUGAGGACCCUACGCCCUGACCCACACCAACGAGGGAACAUGGAGGAUGCCACGCUCCACAGAAGCUGCCAGGCACCACAGCCGGCAGGAUGGGGUUCCCCAGCAGGCCAGCAGGGAGCAGCCAGACCAGGCGAGGCCACGGCGAGGGGGCAUUGGGGUUGUCGGAGCCGGGGUGGGGGAAGGGAGAGCAGGGGUGGCCACUCAUGGGCAAGGGUUUCUUUCUGGGGACAAGAAAAUGUUCUGAAAUUGGUGGUGGCCGCAUAAUUAUGUGAAGCCACCAAAACCCACCGAAUUAUACACUUUGAGUGAAUUAAAUGGUGUAUAGAUCAUAUUUCGAUAAAGCUGAUAUAAAAAAGAAACUAGCCAACAUGA
Molecule: long non-coding RNA, 5855 nt
Organism: Homo sapiens (human)
Lineage: Eukaryota; Metazoa; Chordata; Mammalia; Primates; Hominidae
Exons: 3
Source: RefSeq, a predicted model, not a curated record